UUUCCGUUGCUCCCUACCGAUUGAGUGGUCCGAUGAACACUUUGGAUUUUAGUAAUGUCAGUCUUAACGGAUUGAUGAUUAUUGAGAGAAGUUGUGUAAAUCUUACCAUUUAGAGGAAGGUGAAGUCGUAACAAGGUUUCCGUAGGUGAACCUGCGGAAGGAUCAUUAUAGAAUGCCGUAAGGCUUAGUAGCCUGUUGGUAUAUCCAAUGGGUAUUUGUUGUAAUUAUGUUGUAAAACAUAGUUAUAAUGAAUUAGGUGAUGGUAGUGAAAACAACUAUAUGCGAUGG
Molecule: ribosomal RNA, 288 nt
Filed under: Blastocystis hominis
Lineage: Eukaryota; Bigyra; Opalinata; Blastocystidae
Description: partial 18S ribosomal RNA
Rfam family: Eukaryotic small subunit ribosomal RNA (bases 1-168)
Source: RNAcentral